CCUCUGAUUACACGCACAGAGAGCGGGAGAGGAGAGUCAUCCGACCACUCUGUGUGGUUUCUGCUGGAUCUGAAAUGCUGAGCUAAAUGUUUAGAUUCUAGGAAGUAUUUUAUCCUUAUUUUCUUCCGUAUUUAUGAAAACUGCAGAGAAAUAUAAACUCGACAGUGAUAAAACUAGUUUAUCAUGGAUUCCGAUAAACAAAUGAGCUCGUGUGUCGACAAAUCCAGGAUUGUUUGCAGUUGCAGUGGAGCCAGGGAUUUUCGGUAAGGCCAGGCCUGAGUUCACUGAAAGAGUUUUCAGUUGUAAGUCCUGGGAUGAUGAUUAUGCGUUAGACUACUGAUCAACAUUGAUGUAGAACUCAAAUAACUGACCAGACUGAUGGGUUUUAGCUCGAGAAUGGUCUUCAAACUGGGGUUGAUGUUAAUGCUGUCUUUUACUUCUAAAACAGGGUGAGACGGUGAAUUGGAGAAGCUGAGGUUUGUAUAUCCCACAUCUCUGUUUAAUUCUAGAUAAAUCUGAGUUAAAUAACUUAAUUUCCAUUUGUAUUUGGGAUAUGUAUAACUUUUAAAGUUAUCAAUUCUGUAUGUGUUUGAGUGUGCAUAAUAAAACAAAAUGGAUGUCGUUGC
Long non-coding RNA from Pimephales promelas (fathead minnow), 626 nucleotides. RefSeq lists it as uncharacterized. NCBI's taxonomy places the organism in Eukaryota, Metazoa, Chordata, Actinopteri, Cypriniformes, Leuciscidae. The record is from RefSeq and is a predicted model, not a curated record.